GACGUAGGGCGCGAGCGUUGUCCGGAUUUAUUGGGCGUAAAGAGCUCGUAGGCGGCUUGUUGCGUCGACUGUGAAAACCUGCGGCUCAACCGUGUGGUCUGCAGUCGAUACGGGCAGACUAGAGUGUGGUAGGGGGAGACUGGAAUUCCUGGUGUAGCGGUGAAAUGCGCAGAUAUCAGGAGGAACACCGAUGGCGAAGGCAGGUCUCUGGGCCACUACUGACGCUGAGAAGCGAAAGCAUGGGGAGCGAACAGG
RNAcentral lists this ribosomal RNA (255 nucleotides) under uncultured bacterium. Its description in RNAcentral is "partial 16S ribosomal RNA". It matches the Rfam family "Bacterial small subunit ribosomal RNA", at positions 524 to 776 of the family's 1533-position model. The record is from RNAcentral.